GCGAGAGUGGCGGAACUGGCAGACGCGCAGGAUUUAGGUUCCUGUGGGGCAACCCGUGGGGGUUCGAGUCCCCCCUCUCGCACCA
Molecule: transfer RNA, 85 nt
Filed under: bacterium
Lineage: Bacteria
Also listed under: 1 other name
Description: tRNA-Leu
Rfam family: tRNA
About the family: Transfer RNA (tRNA) molecules are approximately 80 nucleotides in length. Their secondary structure includes four short double-helical elements and three loops (D, anti-codon, and T loops).
Source: RNAcentral